This 77-nucleotide transfer RNA is filed under the name Bifidobacterium aemilianum. RNAcentral's name for it is "tRNA-Thr". It matches the Rfam family "tRNA". From Rfam's summary of the family: Transfer RNA (tRNA) molecules are approximately 80 nucleotides in length. Lineage: Bacteria; Bacillati; Actinomycetota; Actinomycetes; Bifidobacteriales; Bifidobacteriaceae. The record is from RNAcentral.
GCCUCCUUAGCUCAGCCGGCCAGAGCAGCCGCCUUGUAAGCGGCAGGUCGUCGGUUCGAUUCCGACAGGAGGCUCUA